GGGAGGGGUGCAAGCGUUGUUCGGAUUUAUUGGGCGUAUAGCGAGUGUAGGCGGUUUGACAAGUCGGGGUGUGAAAGCCCAGGGCCCAACCCUGGAACUGCAUCCGAUACUGUUAGGCUAGAGUCCCGGAGAGGGUGGCGGAAUUCCCGGUGUAGGGGUGAAAUCCGUAGAUAUCGGGAGGAACACCAGUGGCGAAGGCGGCCACCUGGACGGUGACUGACGCUGAGACUCGAAAGCGUGGGUAGCAAACAGGAUUAGAUACCCUGGUAGUCCACGCCGUAAACGGUGAGAGCUCGUCGUAGUGGGUAUUGACCCCUGCUGUGACCAAGUUAACGCAUGAAGCUCUCCGCCUGGGAAGUACGGUCGCAAGACUA
Molecule: ribosomal RNA, 374 nt
Filed under: uncultured organism
Description: partial 16S ribosomal RNA
Rfam family: Bacterial small subunit ribosomal RNA
Source: RNAcentral